Molecule: ribosomal RNA, 253 nt
Filed under: uncultured Rikenellaceae bacterium
Lineage: Bacteria; Pseudomonadati; Bacteroidota; Bacteroidia; Bacteroidales; Rikenellaceae
Description: partial 16S ribosomal RNA
Rfam family: Bacterial small subunit ribosomal RNA
Source: RNAcentral
UACGGAGGAUCCAAGCGUUAUCCGGAUUUAUUGGGUUUAAAGGGUGCGUAGGCGGUUUUUUAAGUUAGAGGUGAAAUCCUGUGGCUCAACCACGGGCUUGCCUCUGAUACUGGGAAGCUAGCGAAUAGAUGCUGUAGGCGGAAUGUGUGGUGUAGCGGUGAAAUGCUUAGAUAUCACACAGAACACCGAUUGCGAAGGCAGCUUACAAAUCUAUUUCGGACGCUGAGGCACGAAAGCGUGGGGAUCAAACAGG